UGUUAAUGAAAAUGAGGAUGAAUCACAGACUACCCUUGCUUUAGUCUGUGGAAACUCUGCUACUAACAAGAGAACCAGUCCCAAACUUCUCUCUCCUCUCCUGCUGCUUGAUUUUUGCUCGUUCAGACUUGUCUCUCUUAUAUUCAUUUGGACACGAAGAUGCUAGCAUUGUUGCUGAGAUCGAUGUAAAUGCUCCCCUUUGUUCCUCAAUCCCAAAUGGUCAGGUCUUCUUAUUCUCAAGACAAUAAAGCAGUUUGUGGAGCCGAGAAAUAGUGUACAAUUUGCAUAUAGAUCUCUGAUGGCCCCUUACUUGCCACAGAGUGGGGCUGGUGGUGGUGGCAGUCCAUACUCUGAAGGCGGUGCUCUCUAUGCCCUAGGCUUGAUUCAUGCAAACCAUGGGGAGGGUAUCAAACAAUUUCUUCGUGAUAGCCUAUGCAGUACCAACGUAGAGGUUAUUCAGCAUGGUGCAUGCUUGGGUCUGGGCUUGGCAGCUCUUGGAACUGCUGAUGAAGAUAUCUAUGACGACGUAAAACUGUGCUUUGUAC
Non-coding RNA from Camellia sinensis, 545 nucleotides. The record is from RefSeq and is a predicted model, not a curated record. NCBI's taxonomy places the organism in Eukaryota, Viridiplantae, Streptophyta, Magnoliopsida, Ericales, Theaceae.